This 511-nucleotide long non-coding RNA is filed under the name Equus caballus (horse). RNAcentral describes it as "lncRNA (ENSECAG00000051135.1)". The record is from RNAcentral. Lineage: Eukaryota; Metazoa; Chordata; Mammalia; Perissodactyla; Equidae.
GCACAGAAUCAAAAAUUUCUAUGGCAAUUUUAAAUCUGAAACUUGAGAUGAACCUCUCCUCAAUCAAACGUUGCCUAUAAAAAGUACUAAACACAGAUGCUUUUAAGAUCUUCUCUUUGAUUUUGGUGUCUGUAUUUAACUACAUUAUGUCCCUGAGCUAACAUCUGCCACUGAUUCUCCUCUUUUUGCUGAGGAAGACUGGCCCUGAGCUAACAUCUGUGCCGAUCUUCCUCUACUUUAUAUGUGGGAUGCCUGCCACAGCAUGGCUUGAUAAGUAGUGAGUAAGUCCGCACCUGGGAUCUGAACCGGUGAACCCUGGGCCACCAAAUCAGAACACAUGAACUUAACUGCUAUGCCACCAGGCCUGCCCUUAUUUUCUGUAUCUUUUAAUUUAUGUCUUUUGUCAAUUCUGGAAAUUUCUCAGACAUUUCUUCAGGUAGUGCCUCCCAUCUGUUCUCUCUGUUCUCUUCCUAGAAUACCAGUUAGAAAUAAGUUAGGUCUUCAAAUUCUG